Molecule: long non-coding RNA, 1042 nt
Organism: Parasteatoda tepidariorum (common house spider)
Lineage: Eukaryota; Metazoa; Arthropoda; Arachnida; Araneae; Theridiidae
Source: RefSeq, a predicted model, not a curated record
UAUCCUUUCACAAAAGAUCAACUGGAAACUAUUAAAUCUUUCUCUGUGGCACGCUGGCUUUGUGACACUACAAGAUAUGAUAAAGUUCGUAGAUACCCAUUUGCUGUACCUGGGAAAAAUAAUCCUGUUACAGCAUGUCUAAAAAUAAAGCCUCUUGACUUAUCAUUGUGGAGAGAGAAACCAUGACUAGAACCAUGACUUAGUGAAGCUAGGGUUAAUAAGAUAAAUGAAAUUAAUUCCAUGUGUAACGAUUUAUCUUUGACAUUUUUAGUGUUCUAUGGUACUGUGAUUCCCAAAUAUUUUUCGACUCCAGAACCCUAUACGAUCAACGUUUUUUCGACGGAAACUCAAUUUCAUAACUAAAGUAUAAAAAGACAAUAGUAAACGUAUUAACCUAUAAAAGUCAGCGUUAUUUUGAUAAUAUUUAUAGAGGAGGAUGGCAUUUUUCAUCGUUUUAUCAUUAACUAUUUUAAAUUAGCUUUUAUAUCAGACAAUUGGUUACUUGCACUGCAAGAAGGAAAAGAUCACUGAUACUCACACAUAUGAUCUAUGACGUCAGCAUCGUUAUAAGCAAAUUGUCGUUUCAAAGUUGAGCUAAUUUUUUCCACACAAGUUAAAAUGUUAAUUAACGAGAAAAAACUGUAUUUCAAAUAAUUUGAUGGAUGAUACAGCACCGUAUUUAAUUAAUUUGAAGUUAAUUAAAUUAAGUGCCGUUUCACACAUCAAAUUUCUUGAAAUAUAGUUCUUUCUCGCCAACGUCUUUUACCUAACUUAGAAUUAUUAUUUGUUUAUGUAUUUUAUUGUAACUGUGUUAUAUUUUUGUUAACUCCGCCUGUUUCUGGCAAACUUUGAUGCAUAAUUAAAUUAAUUAUGUUCCACGUGGCUUCGUGUCUGUCUUUGUGCUACGCAGCUCACCAAAUUCUCCACAGCUGUUAAUUUGGGAGAGAAAAAAUGUCUGGAAUCUGCCAUUGUAUAAUGAUACUGUAUCGCUUUAAAAAAUAAAAUGUUCAGUAAAAUAAAACUACUUAAAAGUGAAAAAAAA